Molecule: ribosomal RNA, 252 nt
Filed under: Staphylococcus aureus
Lineage: Bacteria; Bacillati; Bacillota; Bacilli; Caryophanales; Staphylococcaceae
Description: partial 23S ribosomal RNA
Rfam family: Bacterial large subunit ribosomal RNA
Source: RNAcentral
CUUGUUGGGGUUGUAGGACACUCUAUACGGAGUUACAAAGGACGACAUUAGACGAAUCAUCUGGAAAGAUGAAUCAAAGAAGGUAAUAAUCCUGUAGUCGAAAAUGUUGUCUCUCUUGAGUGGAUCCGGAGUACGACGGAGCACGUGAAAUUCCGUCGGAAUCUGGGAGGACCAUCUCCUAAGGCUAAAUACUCUCUAGUGACCGAUAGUGAACCAGUACCGUGAGGGAAAGGUGAAAAGCACCCCGGAAGG